ACUGUUUGAAAGUCUGAACAUUUCCUCUUUUUUUAUUUAACAAAAUUUAUAUACCACUUUUAUAAUUUAUAUACAAAUUAUUAGGAGAGUAAGUUAAAAAUAUACUGUAGUUUAUUCACUUAUAGGCUAGUUUACAUACUUUAUUCCUUCUUAUACUUCUACCCCACCUUUCCCCCACAGAGCAUACACACUUCAGCCUCUGCCUUCUCCAUUUUAUCCUGACAGCAAUAUUGUGAGCUAGGGCCAUAGCUCAGUGGUAGAACAACUGCUUAGCAUGCAGAAGGCAUCAGGUUCAGUCCCCAGCAUCUCCUGGUGGGACUGGGAGAGAUCCUCUGGGCUGUUGGGUGGUGGCCAGGUGCCUUCCCAGCUCAAUCAAGGUCAUGGGGUGUGUGUUUUGGCUCCUCUGAUAGACGCACCAGGCACCCCCGAUUCCUCUCUGCUGGCGGUGCUGGUGGCAGCAGUCCUGGGAGCCCGGGAGUCAGCCAGACAGAGCCGUUUACUCUGGCUGGCUUCAGGAGCUGUUUUGUGCCGUUGCAGCCACCAUGAUGCCUCCAUAAAAAUCGUUUUUUUAAAACAACAACAGCACCACAAUUCCUGGUGGAAAGUAUUGUACAGGACACCAUUUGCAACUAAAAAAGACAUAAAAUAGAGUAGUGAAGAAUAAUUGUGAAUUCUACUGAACAUUCUUAACCAUAUCUGUUAAGAAAUAUAUAUCGGUUAAAAGGUAAAGGGACCCCUGACCAUUAGGUCCAUUCGUGGCCGACUCUGGGAUUGCGGUGCUCAUCUCGCUUUAUUGGCCGAAGGAGCCGGCGUACAGCUUCCGGGUCCUGUGGCCAGCAUGACUAAGCCACUUCUGGCGAACCAGAGCAGCGCACGGAAACGCUGUUUACCUUCCCGCUGGAGCGGUACCUAUUUAUCUACUUGCACUUUGACGUGCUUUCGAACUGCUGUCGGUUACUGAGGCUUAAAUGUUUCAUUUAUUGAAUUGCUGAGGUUUCUGGUGAAAAGAUAGCAAUGCCAUUUAUUUUCUUUAAACACAGGACUCUGUUGAUGAUGGCUAUAUGACUAAAACACACUUUCAAGUGAAGGGUGGAAGUGUCACAGGAGACAUAGAGGAUAUGGGUAGUGAGUGUGAUGAAAUAACCUUUGCACAUAUUGGGGUAAGUACAACCUACAAAAUUAGACAAUAGGUACCUAUUUUAUUGAAAACAGUUUGAUAUUUUGCUGUUGAGCUCUGCGACAGUUCAGCAACUGCAUUAUCAGCAAAUUGCAUAAUCUUUGUUGAAGUAUAUUUGCACUUUGAAGAGAGUCUAGAACUAGUUACACAAGAAGAGAUAUACACACAUUGGAAGGGUUGCUGUUUAUAUCUGAUAAGUCAGGUUCACGGCUAGUUCUGAAAAGUGAGUUGCUUCUGUUCUGCUUCUUGGUGGUCCUGUGUACUUGUGUGUGCUUACAGUUAAGUGUAACCUGCAGCUUUGUGCUAGCCUGCACAAUUCAAGUAGAUGUUGAUUCUCAAGAAGGUGGUGGGAAGUACAGCAGCAGCCUGUGGGGUGGGGUAGAGCUUAGAGCUGCCCUCUUGACUGCUGCUGCCACUCCCCUCCACCCCAGCCCUAUUAAAGUAAGCUGCAGUGACAGUCAGGGUGGAUUUGAUUUAAAUCAAAUCGAUUUAAAUCACUACUCAGUAAGACUUGAUUUAAAUCACUAGUCAGUAAGAUUUGAUUUAAAUCAUUUUUUUUGCAGAAAGAUUCAUUCUUGCUGGUAUAAUCUUAAUAUUUACAACCAGAUGAAGGUUUCAUUUUUGGAAUAAUAAAUUUUCAGAGUACCGAAUUUUUCGCUCCAUAAGACGCACUUUUCCCCUCUUAAAAUCUAAGGGGAAAUGUCUGUGCGUCUUAUGGAGCAAAUGUAUGGUCCAUGGGGCUGGGGAGGGGGGAACCCGGGCUUUCCCCGCCGGCCCCGACCUGCUCUUUGAGGCUGGCAGUGCGCUCCCCCCCCACACCGCCAGCCCCACAAGCUGGGGAGCAGCGGGAAGGCUGUGCGCAGCCUUUCCACUGCUCCCUGACCUGCUCUUUGGGGCUGGCGGGCUUCCCCUUGCCAGCCCCAAAGAGCAGGUUGAAAGGAACCCGAAGCCUCCGGAGCACAGCAGGAACUCCCGCUGUGCUCCGGAGGCUUCGGGUUGCCUUCACUGAAGGCGACUGAACGCACCUUGAACACAAAUGGAAGGGGCUUCGUUUCUCCUGCUGCUCCGCUGAAGGGGCGCUGCACAGAGAGGGGGAGAUUUUUUUUUCUUGUUCUCCCCCUCUAAAAUAAGGUGCGUCCUAUGGUUGGGUGCGUCCUAUAGAGUGAAAAAUACGACACAUAGGCUGAAGGCACCUAAUGCAGCUAAACAGGACUAGUUCUGUUCUGAUGGGAUACCACUAAGGGAAACUGUCUUGAGUUCCUUAUGGGAAAAGCAGGAUGCAAAUGGAAUUAAUAUCCAUUAUCAAGCACCUGGGUCUGCCCAGUGCUGAAGACAGGAACUGAACUCCUUUUCACACCUGCCUGGGGGACUUAUGUUCAAGUAAGCAUGCCCUGGAUUGGUAUCGGAACUAAGGCUGGUCUGCUUAUGCAUCAAAAACCAAAGAUGAAUGCUAAAGUGACGCUCAUAAACUUUGUUAAGUACAUCAUAAAAAAUCAGAAGCCAAUUAUAGAACGACAUCGAGUGAACAUGUUUGCUAUUCCUGCUAUUAGCAGGAGAGUAUCAGUUGCACAUGCUCCCUGCGCCUCCAUCCAGGCAAAAGUGAAUCCCCAGAUACACAUUUGUUCCAGUUGAAAUUGGAGAGGCGGCUGGGAUUCCACCAGCAUCACAUUUCUCUUUGGCUCAAGAACCAGAGCAUGUGCCCGUCUCAGAUCAGAACUCUUGGGAUAUUUGGCAGGAAAUCCUAUCAAGUUCACAAGGUUGGUGUUUUUGUUUUUUAAAUCUUUACUGGUUUAAACUCUCUGACUCCUGAAUUACCGGGGGGAGGAAUCCAUAAUUUCAUUUUGAAAACAGAACUGGAUUAUCGGGAAGCCAUUAUGGAGUGUUUUUGCUCAUUUCUCAUGUAGCCCACGGCUAGGAGCCUAGUCUCCUUAGAUCACAAACAGAAUAAUGCUUCAAGCAGAAUGAAGAGCCGCUUGCCUACAAAUACCGUUUCCCAAAAUGAUUGACAGCCGAGGGAACAUUGCCACUCCUCAGAAUUAAAACUGGAAAUCUGAGCGACGUGUAAAAGACUUAGCUUUAGAGUGCAGUGAGAGUCAAAAACACUCGCCAAAGGAGCAAAGGCUCUGUGUCUCUGUGCAAGUUGCUGCUCUGGGUGUGCCUUCUCAUUGGGAAAAGGCGAGUCCAUAGCAGUGGCUUCUGACAGGCUGCAACUGGAAGACUCCUCUGACAGAAGGGAAUUCAAGUGAUGAAAUGUUCCAAUCACAUCUGAUGGACAAGAUGAGGCAGUGACAACGGCCCCUGCUCAAGGCUGAUAGGAAAGCGGCAACGUCAGAGCAGUGAAACACGGGAGGGAGCUGGAUUUGCUUAUUUAGGGAAUUUAUAUAGUGUGACAAUGCCACCGCGAUCUCCAAACAGUGCAAGAUUCCAGGGGUCAAGGCACUAGCCCAGGGUUUGUGUUUCCUUUUGUUAAUGAGGCCCAGCGAAGAUUGCAGUGUCUUUAUGAUAUAUGGUUUAUUUACACGUACCUACAACCUGAGCCUAUGAUGCAGAGGUUCAAAGCAUUAAUACUCCGAAAGGUUCUCCCAUAGCUGUAGCCUUGGGCUCAGACAGACCCCAGCCAUGUCUCUGACUCUCUGCAUUUAACAGACUGAAACCUCUUUCCCCUAGGUUACAUCACCACCACUGCAAUACUAAACUGUGUUGCGCCCGGCACACCAUAUCUGCUUUCUUACUGGCUCGUCACCUUGCCUUUGUUAAGUUAAUGACUCAUACUCAUUAUCAGGCUGGCCUGGAUCCAAGGAUUGAGGGGGCUGAAUUAAAUUCUAAUCCUAUACUGCAGUGGAUUUUCCCCACCGACGCCCAUGUUGGGCUAAAGAUUCCUGUGUUGCUGGGGGGGGGGGGUUGGGCUAAAUGACCCUCAUGGCCCCUUCCAGCUCUACAGUUCUAUGAUCCUAACCUCACAGUGGCCAAAGACUCCUGAGAACUUAGGAACCCAGAUAGACAGCCUCUGGACCUGGAGGUUCCACAAGGACACCGGGAAAGCCUGGCUGCUGGAUCAAGCCAAAGGGGGCCCCAUCUAGUCCUGGUAGCUCAGUUGGUAGAGCAGGAGUCUUUUAAUCUCAGGGUUGUGGGUUCAAGCCCCAAGUUGGGCAAAAUAUUCCUGCAUUGCCAGGGUUUAGACUAGAUUAACCUUGUGGUCCCUUCCAACUCUGCAAUUCUGUGUUAUUCUGUGAUUCUAGGUUGGCUGUAAGAAUGAACAUUUUGGCAUUUAAAGGCAUAUUUAAAAAAUCAAGUUUAACACCACACUGACUCUUGCCAACAUGAGGAGAAUGUGGAGGAGGGUUGAAAAACAAAGAGCAAUUGUAGGAGCCUGGAAGUUAAGGCAUAUGCAAGCACAAUAUGUGAGAAUGUAGAAUGCAUUUACUGCUUACAUUACACAGAAGUGAAUGUGGAUGUAUUGUAUGGCAUGCAUUCUCGGGGUCAGGGGAUGAACAAAGACUAAAACAGCUGUGCAAAGUGAGUGAUGUCAGACCCAGCCCUCUGAACUGGGCCGAGACCUGAGAUUUUGCCUCCAGGACACCCUGCGAGGGUUUCCCACCCCCAGGUUCGAGAUCCUGUCCAAUGCCAUUUCUGCCCAAGUUCUGACACUAUAGCCAAUGCCUCACAGCAAAGGCAUCCCAUUGAGGGAAAGGCAUAAACCUCCCAACUUGGAGUCAACUGUGAUUGGCAGGCCAAUUCGUUUCUGGCCUGGUGAACCAGCAACCGCAAAAGACUCAUUGAAUGAAAGUGAGGAGAGAAGGUGCAGAAAGGCCCAGUCACAUGGGCAACCAUUUCUUGUAUGGCCGCUUCUGCCAUGCCUCCACAACUUUCAUGAGACCACAGGCUUCUAUCCACUUCCGUGGGGAAAACAGGCGUAGUCCUACAGACUACAGAAAUUAUUCUUCCUUUGUAUUCUGUGACUAUGCUUACAGUCAUUUGACAAUGCCCUCAUCACUACAGAAUCGACAUCUGUAAUAUGAAGGCACUUACAGAAAGGUUCUCUGAGGCUCCCACCUGUUUGUGAAGCUCUCUUCCUCUGGAGAUUUGCCAAAGUCUGAAGCUCUUGGAAGCACUUUAAGUUGGCAUUGCACAGCCUGGGUUAAGCUGGCACAGGAGCAAUUUUAAUUUAACAUAAUACUUUAAUAUUUAAUAUUUUAAUGGGCAUCUCCAUUUUAUUGAACAGAUAGCAUUGUUACUUGCCCCAAGCCAUCCAGAUGAGUUGCGUUUUUAUCUAUUGUUGUUGUUGUUUAGUUGUUUAGUCAUGCCUGACUCUUCGUGACCCCAUGGACCAGAGCAUGCCAGGCACUCCUGUCUUCCAUUGCUUCCUGCAUUUUAUCUAUCUGUACAUAUAAUAAAAAUGUAAGUGUUAUCAUGCUGCAGUUUGCUUAGCCACAGACAGGUGGCACUGAAAACUACGGUGUGCUGAGAGACAGUGAAUGGGUGGCCCAGGUGAGCUACAGAGGGCCUGCCACAACAGACGACGGCAGCCCUCAGCUCAACUGGCUCCUUCACCUGACAUCCUUGGGGUCCCUCCCCAUAGGAUCUAGCCACCUGCCCGGCCAGCUCCACUACUGGCUGCCUUCCUCCUUCCAGGCUGAUUGAAGAUCAAUGGUUGCCACCCCUACAUUUUCCUGGGACUCCUGGAUUUACAGGGCUGCCUUCAGAUGGCUUGGGGGUCGGAUAAUUGCAUACCCUCCAACAUUUCUCUGAUGAAAGCAGGGACAUCCUAAGGAAAAGUGGGACAUUCCAAGAUCAAAUCAGAAACUGGGAUGGCUUCUGUAAAUCUGGGACUGUCCCUGGAAAAUAGGGACUCUUGGAAGGUCUGUAUUGUCACAGUAACAUAAUAGUGUUUACAGGUUUUGUAGUACUUUAAAAUUCUGCAAAACCUGCCAGCCCAGUGUGACAACUGGAUACACAAACCCCCCUUGUGUGUAUACAUCAUGACACCGACAUGUGUCAAUCGUGAGGCCUCAGUUAACAGCAGACUGUCUCCCAUUUGGAUUCCUGUGAAUGAGCAGAAGUCAGGAGGUCACAGCUAUGAAGAUUGCCAAAUUCACAUUUAUUUCUCCAGACCUUAAUGAAGCAAUCCACUGAUACUCUUGCAGUGCAGCAAAUGAUGUGCACUUGCCUCUCCAUCUGAAACCAAGUCAAUGAUUGAUGGUCGAAGAGAGAAACCAGGCCAGAAAAUUGGCAAGCUCCCCUACUGGAUAUGCUUUGAUUCAGCACAGCCAGCAGAAUACAAUCUUAGCUUGAUCAUUCCAGUGCUGAGCAAGUUAUGUCUCUGAACCAGGGGAUCAAGGGUCACUGCACAGUACAAAUAAAACCAGAGCAUAUUUCUGUAUGCCUGUGGAAGGACAGCAAACUUUCUACCACUUAGAAUGUGUUUGACACUUUGCAGAAAAAAAUAAAUGAGGGUCGGAAGCCUGAUGCAUAAGGUAACAGCCAUGUUGCAGUGUAGUCAUGGUGCAUGCUGAAUUCGUGGUCAAGUGAUCAUAGAAUUGUAGAAUUGGAAGGUGCGGGUUUGGACUAGAUGACCUUUGGGAUGCUCCCAAUUCUCCAAUUCUAUGAUUCGAAGAUGCACAGCAUUCUUGAAGGGUGGCUGCCUGGCCUCUGCUCAAAUACCUCCCACCUGAAGUGACUUCUCCUGCAGGGCCGUCUUAUCCAUAGGCACUAGGGGUGCAGGGCACCUGGGUGCUGGGCUCUCAGGGGUGCCAGGCCCAGAGUUCAGGGCCCAAGAGUUGAAUCUGGGGAAGAGCCAGCCCACUGGUCAGAAUGCUGUGGCGGGCGGCUCUGCUGCGGGCGGCUCUGCGCCGCGAGUUCGGGGGUGACCAAUCCAGCAAGACACUGAGGUGGCAGGCUGGCUCCACCCUCCUGUGUGACUGGGAAGCCGGGGGGGGACCGCCAGGCAGAUCUUUGCACCCCGGCGUCGCAUAUGCUUAAGACAGCCCUGUUCUCCUGCUUCAACUUAUCAUCACUUGGCUGCGAUCUUUGCCCACGGAGAACUAUGCCAAAGUCAAGUUUCUCUAUUUGCAGCGAACUCUACGGUAACAUGGCAGCUGUGGUUUGAAUGGGCUGCUGCUCUGUGAAGUUGGUGAACUCAUUGCGCAAAGCAGUCAGCUAAAAUGUGUAUGACACACACCCAAAGACCAGGAAAUUUCAGAGAGGCGAGACCCCGUGGGGGGGGGAUGUGAGGCCUGUUACUUGGAGGCCUAUGGUACUGAGGGGUAAUUAAAAAAAGGUUAUACAUUGUGCCGGCCUUUGGGAAUGUUAUGAAACAAAGGACAACCCUUUAGCGUUAUAGAAACUGAGUAGUCCUGGGUCACGGCACCUCUGUGCUGCUUGCUCUUUGUCAGGCUUAAUCAUUGUGUUAAAUAAGCUACGGUAAAAGACCUAUAACAAUUGUAGGGCUGGGGUGGUACAGAGAGUCUGACUCCUUCAAUCAUGAAUUCUGGGGGAGUUGCCUGUUGGUCUGCCUGCUCAACAGCUUAGCAUUUGGGGUGGCUCUUAGUCAUCCCAUGGGGAAAAGAAAUUCUUAGACAUACUGGAGCAUAUCUUCCCUGUCUACCUGAAUCACAGGUAGAUUUCCAGCCUUGCCCGAUAGCUAAGAAAAAAUGGUAUGUAAGUAUACAUUUUAUUUAUACUUACUUUUAUUUAUUUAUUUAUUACUACAUUUGCAGUACCACCCUUCAUCAGAGGAUCACGGGGUGGUUUUGUUAAGCGCAAUUGGUUUAAUUCACACAGAAAUGGUGAAUGCUUGUGUAGUGGUGAAAAAGGUUUAACAUGGGGAUUUUCCAUGGGGAUAUACAUGAGACCCUUUCUCAUAUAUAGUGGGGAGGUGUGUGUGUGUGUGUGUGUGUGUGUGUGUAAAAAUAUGAGGGUCUCCGAGCUCUAGCUGAGUUGAUAUUUAACUGAUUGCUGUUCUCUGCUAGGAAGCAUAUUUCCAUAAUUCACUUUAUAUUGAUGGGCUGUCCUCUUCAGUGCCUGAUACUGACUUUUUCUGGCCACCAUUGCAUAAGAAAAUGCAAUGCCAUUCAUGUAAUCCCAUCUCCCUUGCUCAAGGCAGCUCUUUUGCAUUCCAACGGCUUUGCCGAAUGUUUUUUUGACAGGUGCAUGGUUCUCUGUAAAGCCUCAAGUGGGCAUCCGCCUCAAGAAGCACACCGCAAUUCCACAUCCUGUUUGUUUUGCUCUGGGAAAAUAAUUAUCCUAUUUAAUUGGGAUUUUAUUACGCUUUCAGAAAGGAUAGGCGACACCAGCUACCCUUCUCCUCAUGCACUGUAUGAAAUUCUACUCCCUUGGAUUUGCUAAAAGCCGCAGCAUUUGAUAUCUGUACUGUACAAUCUGACCUUGAACUCGUCUUGAUUUAACAUAACUGGACACAUGAGACAUGUGUGAACUUUCAAGAAUCUACAGUCACCCACACCUUCUUUUCCUCCUCAAGGUUCUUUUCCCAUUUAUCCUUAUGUUUGUCCAGUAAACAUCUCGAUAGCAGC
This 8706-nucleotide long non-coding RNA is filed under the name Podarcis lilfordi (Lilford's wall lizard). The stretch from base 4257 to 4329 matches the Rfam family "tRNA". The record is from RNAcentral. Lineage: Eukaryota; Metazoa; Chordata; Lepidosauria; Squamata; Lacertidae.